CAAUAGCGUAUAUUAAAGUUGUUGCGGUUAAAAAGCUCGUAGUUGGAUCUCGGCGAGCAGAGGGCGGUUCGUUGUUUGACGCUACUACCCUAUUUGCUCGUGUUUUUGUCGGAGGUCUCUUGGUGCUCUUAACCGAGUGUCAAGUGAUGCCGGCAGGUUUACUUUGAAAAAAUUAGAGUGCUCAAAGCAGGCUUUACACGCUUGAAUAUUCGUGCAUGGAAUAAUAGAAUAGGACGUCGUUUCUAUUUUGUUGGUUUUCGGAAAUCGACGUAAUGAUUAAUAGGGACAGUCGGGGGCAUUAGUAUUCCAACGACAGAGGUGAAAUUCUUGGACCGUUGGAAGACUAACUACUGCGAAAGCAUUUGCCAAGAAUGUUUUCAUUAA
RNAcentral lists this ribosomal RNA (384 nucleotides) under uncultured eukaryote. Its description in RNAcentral is "partial 18S ribosomal RNA". It matches the Rfam family "Eukaryotic small subunit ribosomal RNA", at positions 592 to 976 of the family's 1831-position model. The record is from RNAcentral.